GAGUGAAUAAUAUCAAACUUAGAUGUGGCUCUAUUAUUGAUUCGUUUGGGAAAGAAAGCUCGAGUUUGUUUCCCAAGUUGACAUGACUUACAAUCUAAAGAAGACAAAGAAGAAAGACUAGGUACUAGUAAAGACUAGGUACUAAUUUUUGAGGUUUGGCAAUACUUGGAUAACCCAGGUGGCUAUGGAGAAGAUCCACAGAUGCAGCGGAAGUGAGAGCAACUGGUAAUUUUGAAAUGGAUAGACGAUACAGUCCUUGUGAAUCAUAUCCUGUUCCAAUCGUUUUCCUCGUACUUCGGUCCAGAGUGUGAGGUACCAGAUGAGGAUGACUGUUGUUUAGUAGCUUGAUACUGCAAGUACUCAUUGUAGUUAGUUCCAGUUAGGACAAUGGAAUCAGACUGUUGAUCGUUUGCUUUAGGUAAGGGAAGAAGUCCAUCCCCAUGAGUUUGUGCUACAUUAGCUGCAUGACGAUUUGUGUUGAAUUGAUUAUUAUUGCGUGGUGGUCGGCCAUGCAAUGCCCAACAAGUAUCUCGAGUGUGGCCAUUUUUGUCACAGUAAGUACAAUGAGAUUUAAAGCCCUUUCCUUUUCCUUUUCGAGAACCUCCCUGUCUGUGCUGAUUUCCAAUCUGCACAGCUAGCACAGAUGUUUCAAUUUCAUUACUACCAUUCGCAUUUAAGGAAAUGCGUAGCAAUCGAGCAGAGACAUCUUCCAGAGAAGGAAUCACAGAACUCAUCAAUAUUUGAUUCUGUACAGAACUAAGAUCAGAUCGAAGUCCUAUCAAAG
Molecule: unclassified non-coding RNA, 784 nt
Filed under: Hevea brasiliensis (rubber tree)
Lineage: Eukaryota; Viridiplantae; Streptophyta; Magnoliopsida; Malpighiales; Euphorbiaceae
Source: RNAcentral